AGCAUCUGCAGGAACAUGCAUAAACCCUGCAAAUAAAAGCCCUGCAAUGUGUAGAGGUGCUCAUAUAAAAGAGAGCAACUUCUGCUCUUGUUAACUCUGAACUAUGUAAGUCAGAACAUCAGCCUCUUGAACUAUUGUUAAAGAUCUCAAGACUGUUGUUGAAGCUCUCUCUUGUGUCCAGUUCUAGGGCCCCCAGUGCGAGAAGGACAUGGAGCUGUUGGAGUGGGUCCAGAGGAGGGCUACGAAGGAGAAGCUCAAUCAAGUUAUCCUCUCAUCUGUGUCUGCAAGAAAUGGGUAAUUUUGGUGCAGAGGUUCUUUCAGGAGACUAUGAUGAGGCUGACGUGUGAAGUGAGCCAUGGGAACAGAGGAAAAUUCCUGCAACUCCUGGGCUGUGGGAUCCAUCAUCUCCUUGCAUGUCUUGGUCCACAGUUGUAGGUCCUAACAGGAAGUUCCAUCUGUUUCACAUGAAGUUGGCAUAAAAUAC
This 484-nucleotide long non-coding RNA is filed under the name Gallus gallus (chicken). RNAcentral describes it as "lncRNA (ENSGALG00010006559.1)". Lineage: Eukaryota; Metazoa; Chordata; Aves; Galliformes; Phasianidae. The record is from RNAcentral.